Parus major (Great Tit) is the source of this 539-nucleotide long non-coding RNA. RefSeq lists it as uncharacterized. NCBI's taxonomy places the organism in Eukaryota, Metazoa, Chordata, Aves, Passeriformes, Paridae. The transcript has 3 exons. The record is from RefSeq and is a predicted model, not a curated record.
CUGGGUCGGGCGCGGCCCAGGGAGGGGAACUCUUUCCCCUAGGGCCCCUUCCCCUCAGGGUCGGCGUGAAGGGGCAGAAGAGGCGCUGGGACCUGGGCCGAGGCAGGGCCGCCGGCGCUGGGGAUCUGCCAUGGGGAGGGGACAAACCCGACGUUGUCGAAGGGUCACUGAGGAAGGAGCUGGCCAAGCCCUUUGGGCUUCAGCAGCCGGCAGCCCCGCUGAGCGGCUGCAGGGGUAUAGGGGUCGCUCCCCUCUGGCCAAGUCCGGCUCUCAGGAGCGUUUGAUUAUAGAAAGCAAAAAGUGAGGUGGAGAAAAUAGAGAAACUAUUAGAGAAAAUAGAGGUGGAGGGGCUACAUGACUUACAUAGAAAAACCCAACACUGAUCAUCCUUACCACCUUAACAAUUAGCACAGCAUCAGCUUGUAUGAAAAUUAUGGAAGUACUUACAGACACCUAGUAACCUUCAGACAAUCUACUGUUCACAGAGCAACACCACAGAGAAGAAGGGUGUUCCCCUGUGUAAAAAUAAAUUUUUUUGG